GGGAACAUUCUCAAAUAGAAUGUGAAGAAAAGAAAGCAAAAAAUGGGUUGAGAAUUGAGGUUUGUGUCCAUUGUGUUUGGUCGUGUUAAGGGUACGUAAGUGGGUUGGCUUUUGUAGUUUUGCCUCCAAAGUGCACAUGGUGGGUUUGGUAUGGCAGUGGGGGGAUUUUCAAACGAGGUGCGAUUUAGAGUUCACUCAGAUGGGCAGUUUGUUUGGACGCGAAAUAACAUGAAAGUGCAUGUGAUUGACUGAGUAUUAUUCAUUAUUGUUGACAUCGCAGCUGGGCUCUAGCUAGCGGCCCCGAUAUCCAGUCCUCAACCCCCAUCAACACCUCCUCUCUCCACAGCGCCUUGCUUUGCUUCUACGUGUGUACUUCCAACCCCUGCAUUUCAAAUAGUGAAUUAAGAAGAUGAGUUACGACCCCAUACAAAUGUUCAACUCCAAGUACUCGAUUUAGUCCGACUGCAUAUCUAUCGUAUCAGUGUAUGUCACAAAAACCCCUUACGUACCAUACUCUCAUAUGAUCCGAUAGUCACUUUCAAGUAAAUGUUUUUCAGACGAUCUAAAUGAACAUAUAUCCUUCUACUUGGUGAUUACUGGUUUUCACCGAGUCUCUAAAUGAACAUAACUAACAUUGUUAUAUAGACAUGGCAGAGGACACUGACGUACAUAUCCCAGGCUUGGAUAAUAUCAAGUAAAUUAAUGUGGCAUUUAGGAACGUUAAUAAAUGGCAAUAUAGAAAGAAAGAAACUUUAAUUUGUGUUUGAAACUUACAAAACAAAUCCGGAGUGGUUGCUGCUGCCAUGAAUGAUUAGCACCGGAUUUUCCAGGCUGCUUCCGUGCCUGCCUUGAGCCAUUCACGCAGUACGCACAUACAGUUAUGUAAAGUCAACAUCAUAUCAUCGUAGCUGGAGAAGGUUAAUAUCUUGAAUAUGAACUUAUUAAGGAAAGACUAAUGAAUCCAAUCUUAUAAAAAUUAGAAUCAGAUGAGCAUAUUCUUCACAUUAAAUGCCAUAACAAGUCAAGUGGUAUCAUUUGGGUUUUGCAAAAAGAAAGGACACAAUAGGUCACCAAAAUGAUUAGAUUAUUCAAACUUUUUAAAAAAGAAGGAAUUAAUUUGAACGAUGGAUCAUUGGACAAGAAUUGUGGAGAGCAUGUUCAGACCAGAAAAUGGGAGGUGACCAGUGGUUAUUUAAUUUUAUCUCUGUGACAGACAGUUGUGACAAAUAGUAAAAAUAAUAAUGAAGCAACAGGUGGUGGGGAGGAAUACAUGACAUGAUGAUGAUGAUGAUGAUGAUAAAUCUCAGGUCCACACGGUUUAUUAGUUAGUUUAGUUAAACACCCUUUUAAAACAAAAGAAUAUGGCCAAUUAGACAGACGGUCAACAAGAUUUGAGAUUGCAACUUGCAAGAGAUGUCAAACCUAGCCAGCCAGGAGCUCAAUUUUGCAGAGGAUGGAUUGUGUAAGCAUUUCUGGCAAUCAGUUUGAUACCUCAGGGAACAAGAACACACUCAUUGCGUAUCAGAUGGACCUAGGCUAAGCUAAGUUCUAAUCUGCAGAUCAGAUCGUAACAGAGAUGUCGACUUUGGUUUCGGAUUAAGCCGAAAGUGAACAAACAAGAACAAAAUGACAUGACACCCACGAGCAAGCAGCUAGACAAUUGCAAGUCAAUUCCAAAUCAAAUGAAUAAUGACGUGUGUGAAUUCAAUAUCAAACUACACAUGCCAGCAGCUAGACAAUUGCAAGUCGAUAUUUGAGCAUUUAUUUAUUAUUGUUUCCUCACCUGUAGUAUCCGAGUCCCAGAAUUCACUCCAAAUAUAACUUUCUAAAGCUCCCAUCUCUGAUAGUCAUUUAUCUGGAAAAAAAAUACAGAAAAGUUGUCACAACGGUAAAGCAGAAGUGAUUCAGGAAUGCUGUGAUCCGUUUCACAACUGUAAUACCAAAUUUCUUUCCUGUCCAUUGUACGCAUCAUCAAGGUUA
Molecule: long non-coding RNA, 1980 nt
Filed under: Linum usitatissimum (flax)
Lineage: Eukaryota; Viridiplantae; Streptophyta; Magnoliopsida; Malpighiales; Linaceae
Description: long non-coding RNA (LUSI_LNC003575)
Source: RNAcentral